RNAcentral lists this long non-coding RNA (943 nucleotides) under Salvia miltiorrhiza (redroot sage). RNAcentral describes it as "long non-coding RNA (SMIL_LNC005184)". Lineage: Eukaryota; Viridiplantae; Streptophyta; Magnoliopsida; Lamiales; Lamiaceae. The record is from RNAcentral.
UGCCCUGAGAUAGCUAAGAUAACUGCCCUGACUGUGCUGAGAUAGCUGCGCUGAGAUAGCUGCGCUGAGGUAGCUGCCCUGAGGUAGCUAAGAUAACUGAGAUAGCUGCGCUGAGAUAACUGCGCAGAGGUAGCUGAGAUAAAUAUCCUGACUGCGCUGAGAAGACCCAAAUUCUACUUAAGGCUUUCCCCUCCGAAGCGUGGCUGAAUUGCCACUAAAGCUCAUUUUCUGCCGAAGCAGGUUUUCCAGCAUUGUUAACCAUUACUGAUGUGCUGUAAAUUUUCAAGAAAAAUACAGAUGGCAACAUAUACCCUACUCCCUCCCUCUUAGUAACAUGUGCAUGAUUAAAAUAAACAUGUUAUGUGUAUGCUUGUGAUUGGUGUUCCUACUUGUGAUGCUAGUGACAGGGCUAGUAUGACUCUAUGGUCCCAAAGUAUGUUAUCCAAAUUAUGUUCCAAGCCCUAGCACGUAUGCAGAAGGUGUGCAGCUUCGUAUACUUAGUCAAUUCAUAUUUUAGACCUAGGCACAUAUGCAGAAGGUGUGCAGCUUCCAAGACAUAAUAUCAAAUUCCCAAAUCCCUUCAAGAGAUAAUAUAAAUCAUGAUUUUUCUCAAGUGGUAAAGUAUAACAUUUUCCAAAUCUCAAUCAUGCUUACAUGCUUCGAUGAAAUAACUUAAGAUCAUGUUUCAUACUUACAUGCUUUGGUGAAGUAACUUAACAUCAUGUUUCAUUCAUACUUACAUGCUUCGAUGAGACACCUUAAGAUCAUGUAGUGAGAAAUUUCAGUUCUGCGAAGUACCUGGAUCACCACUAGUUAGUGGGUUACCUUUGUUACAUUACGGCUUAGACAUUCUGUGCUGGGAUGUAGAGUUCCUAUGUUGAAGACCAGCUUAGAUAUCCCGCAGCACCGCUUAGAAAAUUAUGCGGCGCAGCUUUAGUAACUC